This 88-nucleotide transfer RNA is filed under the name Fusarium proliferatum. It matches the Rfam family "tRNA". From Rfam's summary of the family: Transfer RNA (tRNA) molecules are approximately 80 nucleotides in length. Their secondary structure includes four short double-helical elements and three loops (D, anti-codon, and T loops). The record is from RNAcentral. Lineage: Eukaryota; Fungi; Ascomycota; Sordariomycetes; Hypocreales; Nectriaceae.
GGAUCGAUAGCUCAGUGGUAUAUAGCUCAGUGGUAUGAGCGAGGGAUUGCAGAUCCCUAGGUCGCGUGUUCGAUCCACGCUCGGUCCU